Molecule: ribosomal RNA, 571 nt
Filed under: Debaryomyces hansenii
Lineage: Eukaryota; Fungi; Ascomycota; Pichiomycetes; Serinales; Debaryomycetaceae
Description: partial 26S ribosomal RNA
Source: RNAcentral
GUGGCUUAAGAUCAUUAUGCCAACAUCCUAGUCAAAAGACGCAGUCCUCGGUCUAGACAGGCAGUAUCAACCAAGGCUAUAACACUCCACCGAAGUAGAGCCACAUUCCUUAGUCAUUAUCCUACCAUCCAAACCGAUGCUGGCCCAGUAAGCUGCGAGGAACCCAACCAAGAAGGAAAGGAUCGCAAAAUACCAAGUCUGAUCUCAAGCCCUUCCCUUUCAACAAUUUCACGUACUUUUUCACUCUCUUUUCAAAGUUCUUUUCAUCUUUCCAUCACUGUACUUGUUCGCUAUCGGUCUCUCGCCAAUAUUUAGCUUUAGAUGGAAUUUACCACCCACUUAGAGCUGCAUUCCCAAACAACUCGACUCUUCGAAAGCACUUUACAUAGAAUUGGGCAUCUCAUCGCACGGGAUUCUCACCCUCUGUGACGUCCUGUUCCAAGGAACAUAGACAAGAGCCAACUCCAAAGUUACCUUCUUCAAAUUACAACUCGGACACCGAAGGUGCCAGAUUUCAAAUUUGAGCUUUUGCCGCUUCACUCGCCGUUACUAAGGCAAUCCCUGUUGGUUU